CCUACGGGAGGCAGCAGUAGGGAAUUUUCCGCAAUGGGCGAAAGCCUGACGGAGCAAUACCGCGUGAGGGAUGACUGCCUAUGGGUUGUAAACCUCUUUUUCAGGGAGGAAUAAAUGACGUGUACCUGAAGAAUAAGCAUCGGCUAACUCCGUGCCAGCAGCCGCGGUAAGACGGAGGAUGCAAGUGUUAUCCGGAAUCACUGGGCGUAAAGCGUCUGUAGGUGGCUCAACAAGUCAACUGUUAAAUCUUGAAGCUCAACUUCAAAAUCGCAGUCGAAACUAUUGAACUAGAGUAUAGUAGAGGUAAAGGGAAUUUCCAGUGGAGCGGUGAAAUGCGUAGAGAUUGGAAAGAACACCAAUGGCGAAGGCACUUUACUGGGCUAUUACUGACACUCAGAGACGAAAGCUAGGGUAGCAAAUGGGAUUAGAUACCCCAGUAGUCCUAGCCGUAAACAAUGGAUACUAGGUGUUGAACAGAUCGACCUGUGCAGUACUAAGACUAACGUACGUUAAGUACUACCGUCCGUCGGAAGUAGUGCACGCGAGUAGUAGAACGUACGAAGAAGUAGACGGACGUGAGACGUGCCGAACGGACGACGACGAGGGAGGUAGG
This 613-nucleotide ribosomal RNA is filed under the name uncultured bacterium. RNAcentral describes it as "bacterial SSU rRNA". The stretch from base 1 to 524 matches the Rfam family "Bacterial small subunit ribosomal RNA", at positions 338 to 873 of the family's 1533-position model. The record is from RNAcentral.